This 491-nucleotide ribosomal RNA is filed under the name uncultured bacterium. RNAcentral describes it as "bacterial SSU rRNA". It matches the Rfam family "Bacterial small subunit ribosomal RNA", at positions 36 to 524 of the family's 1533-position model. The record is from RNAcentral.
CUGGCGGCGGCCUACACAUGCAAGUCGAGCGGUUGACGGGAGCUUGCUCCCUGAUUCAGCGGCGGACGGGUGAGUAAUGCCUAGGAAUCUGCCUAUUAGUGGGGGACAACGUUUCGAAAGGAACGCUAAUACCGCAUACGUCCUACGGGAGAAAGCAGGGGACCUUCGGGCCUUGCGCUAAUAGAUGAGCCUAGGUCGGAUUAGCUAGUUGGUGGGGUAAUGGCUCACCAAGGCGACGAUCCGUAACUGGUCUGAGAGGAUGAUCAGUCACACUGGAACUGAGACACGGUCCAGACUCCUACGGGAGGCAGCAGUGGGGAAUAUUGGACAAUGGGCGAAAGCCUGAUCCAGCCAUGCCGCGUGUGUGAAGAAGGUCUUCGGAUUGUAAAGCACUUUAAGUUGGGAGGAAGGGCAGUAAAUUAAUACUUUGUUGUUUUGACGUUACCGACAGAAUAAGCACCGGCUAACUCUGUGCCAGCAGCCGCGGUAAU